GGCGGUUUGAUAAGUCGGGUGUGAAACCUCCAGGCUCAACCUGGAGCCGCCACUCGAUACUGUCAUGACUAGAAUUCGGUAGGGGACCACGGAAUUCCUGGUGUAGCGGUGAAAUGCGCAGAUAUCAGGAGGAACACCAGCAGCGAAGGCGGUGGUCUGGGCCGACAUUGACGCUGAGGAGCGAAAGCGUGGGGAGCGAACAGGAUUAGAUACCCUGGUAGUCCACGCCGUAAACGUUGGGCACUAGGUGUGGGGACUAUUCAACGGUUUCCGUGCCGCAG
Molecule: ribosomal RNA, 281 nt
Filed under: uncultured bacterium
Lineage: Bacteria
Description: partial 16S ribosomal RNA
Rfam family: Bacterial small subunit ribosomal RNA
Source: RNAcentral